RNAcentral lists this ribosomal RNA (1164 nucleotides) under Triticum aestivum (bread wheat). RNAcentral describes it as "partial small subunit ribosomal RNA". Lineage: Eukaryota; Viridiplantae; Streptophyta; Magnoliopsida; Poales; Poaceae. The record is from RNAcentral.
AUGCAGACGAAAAACUGCAUAUUCUUCAAGCUGGACAGAUUAUUACUCCCUCCGUCUCAUAAUAUAAGAGCGUUUUUGACACUAUACUUGUGUCAAAAGCGCUCUUAUAUUAUGGGACACCGUGUUAUUGGUUUAGGUGCUGGGCGCUCGUGGUCAUGGGAAGGAUCUGUUGCUGGAUCGUUCAAGCUAGACAGACUGUUUCUGGAGCUGCAGCACCGUGCACUCCAUGCUCCCUUCCGCCUCCGGCUCGGCGGACUUCUUCCAGUACGGAACGGCGGAGGUCACCAUCGCCCAGCCGUCAAAGAUGGCCAAGCUCAUUAUUGGAGAGCCACACUGCGGCUGGCUCUACGACGGACCAAGCGCUGCCUCGACCCACCAGCCGUAUUACCCGACGGCGUUCUCCGGCGGCGGCGACCUUACGGACGCGGUCGCCGGCACGGCGAGCGGCCUCUCGCUCAGGCUAGGUGCCCAGUCUUCCUCGGUCACCAUGGCGAGCAUGCCGGAGCAGUCCUCGGAGGUGAGCUGCUCCGGCCUGACCCAUGUGAACAGCGAAGGCUUUGGCUACCAGCAGCCUCAGGCCGUCAGGGCUCACGCCGGCGCCGGCCAGUUCCAUCUGCCUCCUUACGGCGAUGUCGGUGCCGGCGACUACGAGCUGCGGCACGUGUACCCACAGAUGUAUUCGAGGCCUCCGCACUUCUCGCAGGUGCUGCCGCGGUCGGGAACUCGGGAUACGCGCACAUUGCCCAGGAGCUGCUGAAUGGGUUCGCCAGCUGCCUGCUGACGGACAUGGCCGAGACGACUGAUGAUUCAGUCAGCGACAUUGGCAGCGAGGCAAGCCUGCUGCUCUCGUCGAGCUGCUCAGCGAGGACGCCGUCGUCGGUGAGCUCCAACCACCUGAUGCUUCCCUCCGAGGAGCACCCAGCCGACGGCGGGAGGUGGAUGCAGGCUCAGAGGGUGAGAGCAUCUCCAACAGGCGACGAACGCGCCGCGCGCAAAAAACUGCUUUGCCGCGCGCCCAUCAUCUCGUUUGGCGCGGCGCGCAGCGCUGACUCCAGCAGCCGCGCUAAAAUGCAGCACGCGCGCGCCGCUCCAGCAGCACGCAAAAAAUGCAGCGCGUGUGACUCAUCGGGGCAUUGCAUAUACUCCCUCCAUUCCAUAAUGUAG